RNAcentral lists this long non-coding RNA (600 nucleotides) under Lotus japonicus. Its description in RNAcentral is "long non-coding RNA (LJAP_LNC000372)". The record is from RNAcentral. Lineage: Eukaryota; Viridiplantae; Streptophyta; Magnoliopsida; Fabales; Fabaceae.
UUCUUUUCAUCAUAAUAUUCAAUUCAAAAACCACAUCAGCAUGAUUAUAUGAAGAGUUCUUGAUUAUAGAAUUAGAAUUAAAAUAGAAGAGAGAGAGAGAGAGAGAGAGAACACACCGGGAAUGCCACAUCUUCUAAUUUAUGCCUGAGCUUGCUCAAAGCCUCAACCUAGCGACCAGUUAGCUCUAGACUCUCAAUUGCAUUUCUUAAUGGCUUGGGUCAAUAAUUAUUGGCUUCCUCUCUUAUUCCUGAAAAUUGGUAUCAAAAUAUCAGGACAUUAGGCACACAAAACAAAAACAUCUAAGAAUGAAAUUAAACAACACCACCACCUACAUUUUCUUACCCAAGGGACUGCUACGGUGAGUGAAACUGAUAUCCUUGGAACCUCAGGAAAGGCUUAGAUCAGAUCUGCAAAUUGGAAAGUUUCAUCCACUUUGAGUGAGUCAUAAAAUAUGCAAUCACAAUAGACAAAACACAAAACCCACUAAUGAGUCCCAUUGGCAUUGGAAAUUUUACCAACCACCUGUAAUGCUUAUGCUUAUCUAAUACCAAAAGAGCAAAAAGAUAGCUUGGAGAUGAAAAAUAUUAAAAAGGGAUUUUC